GACGGAGGGGGCUAGCGUUGUUCGGAAUUACUGGGCGUAAAGAGCGCGUAGGCGGUUUAGUAAGUUGGAAGUGAAAGCCCGAGGCUUAACCUCGGAAUUGCUUUCAAAACUGCUAAACUAGAGUAUGGUAGGGGAUGGUAGAAUUUCUAGUGUAGAGGUGGAAUUCUUAGAUAUUAGAAGGAAUACCGGUGGCGAAGGCGACCAUCUGGACCAUUACUGACGCUGAGGUGCGAAAGCGUGGGGAGCAAACAGG
This 253-nucleotide ribosomal RNA is filed under the name uncultured bacterium. Its description in RNAcentral is "partial 16S ribosomal RNA". It matches the Rfam family "Bacterial small subunit ribosomal RNA", at positions 524 to 776 of the family's 1533-position model. The record is from RNAcentral.